RNAcentral lists this ribosomal RNA (1362 nucleotides) under Triticum aestivum (bread wheat). RNAcentral's name for it is "partial small subunit ribosomal RNA". Lineage: Eukaryota; Viridiplantae; Streptophyta; Magnoliopsida; Poales; Poaceae. The record is from RNAcentral.
AUGGCGCCAGCGCAGCAAGCCUCGCCACCCCCGAUUCUCAGCGUCCUCGACACCACUCUCGUAGCGCCCUCGCCCAGCGCCGGCGCCGCCCCGCCGGAGUCCUCCCUCCCGCUCACCUUCUUCGACGUCUUCUGGCUUAACCUCCCACCCGUCGAGCGCGUCUUCUUCUACCGCCUCGCCGCCGACGCCGACGUCCCCGCCAUCCUCUCCAACCUCAAGACCUCGCUGUCCCAGGCCCUCCACGCCUACUACCCGCUUGCCGGCCGCCUCCGCCUCACGCCCGGGACGGCUGACCGCUACGAGGUCUACUACCAGCCUGGCGACGGUGUCACCUUCACCGUCGCCGAGUACCGUGAUGAUGUUGACGUCGAUGAGCUGGCCAUCGACCAGCCGAGGGAGAUCAUCAGGAUCGCGCCGCUCGCACCGCCACUCCCCAAGGGCGGCGCGGUGCUCGCGCUGCAGGCCACCGUGAUGCGCCGUGGCCUCGCCAUCGGCAUGGCCGUGCACCACGCCGCCUGCGACGGGGCGACCUCCACGCGCUUCCUGCACACCUGGGCGGCGGCCAGCACCGGCGCCGUCGGCCCACCACCCCCUGUCAUCGACAGAACCCUCGUAAAGGACCCAACGGGUCUCUACGACGUCUUCGUGAAAGCCAAGCCGACCGCCGGCGAGAUGGACCGCGUCAAGACGUGGGAGCACCGACUCCUCGCCACGUUCACACUGUCCAAGGAAGAGAUACAACGCGUCAAGGACGUGGUAGCCAGCGAGGCCGGGCGGCGAGGCGCUACGCCGCCGCGAUGCUCCUCGUUGGUGGCCACCUUCGGCUUCAUGUGGUCAUGCCACCAGCGAACUAAAGAUACAGGAAGCACCGGCGCAGACCCGACAUACUUGCUCUUCCCCGUCGACCACCGCUCACGGAUGAAGCCUCCCGUCCCGGAGGAGUACCUCGGCAACUGCGUCGGCAUCGCCACGCAUGCCGCACCCAUGGACCAGCUCGCGGCAGCCGGCGCCGGCGGCCUCUUCAUCGCGUGCACGGCGGUAGCUGCGGCGAUCGACGAAGCGGUGCGCGGCAUCGGCUCACCUGAGACAGUUGCGUUGUGGAUGCAUCGGGUCAGGGAGGCUGGCGUCGCCGGCAUGUGGACGGUGGCCGGGUCGCCGAGGUUCCGCGUGUACGAGGUGGACUUUGGGUUCGGGCGGCCGGCCAAGGUGGAGAUCGUGUCCGUGGCGAGAACCGGCGCCAUGGCGGUGGCAGAGGGCCGGAGCGGCCGCGGCGGCAUCGAGGUGGGCAUCUCUCUGCCGGCGGCCGGCAUGCAGAGCUUUCAAAUGUGCUUCCAAGAUGCCAUUGACUGGCUUCACCAGUAA